Cyprinodon tularosa is the source of this 322-nucleotide long non-coding RNA. RefSeq lists it as uncharacterized. The record is from RefSeq and is a predicted model, not a curated record. Lineage: Eukaryota; Metazoa; Chordata; Actinopteri; Cyprinodontiformes; Cyprinodontidae. The transcript has 3 exons.
ACAAGCCACCAGUGCAGAUGUGAGGAUCAGUAUGGCUGGCCUUGUGACAUGUGCUCCACUUUUGGUGAAUGCAGCAACCUUCUAGGCAAUACCUGUGGAUGCAUCAAUGCACUUCCUCCAAACAAUACUUACUGCCAGCCACUGUCAGAUCUAAAUCCCUGCCCAACGACAGCACCAACAACUACUCCUCCAGUCUUCCAUCAGUACCUUCUUUCUAUAGAGCUGAAAACAACAACAGUUGCAGCAGUAGAAAAACUGAGAAACAUCAGCUACCCCAUCAUCAGCAGCAAUCUACACAUCUCUGAUGUUAACAUCUCUACAG